RNAcentral lists this ribosomal RNA (497 nucleotides) under uncultured bacterium. Its description in RNAcentral is "partial 16S ribosomal RNA". It matches the Rfam family "Bacterial small subunit ribosomal RNA", at positions 28 to 507 of the family's 1533-position model. The record is from RNAcentral.
GAUGAACGCUGGCGGCGUGCCUAAUACAUGCAAGUCGAGCGAACAGACGAGGAGCUUGCUCCUCUGACGUUAGCGGCGGACGGGUGAGUAACACGUGGAUAACCUACCUAUAAGACUGGGAUAACUUCGGGAAACCGGAGCUAAUACCGGAUAAUAUAUUGAACCGCAUGGUUCAAUAGUGAAAGACGGUUUUGCUGUCACUUAUAGAUGGAUCCGCGCCGCAUUAGCUAGUUGGUAAGAUAACGGCUUACCAAGGCAACAAUGCGUUGCCGACCUGAGAGGGUGAUCGGCCACACUGGAACUGAGACACGGUCCAGACUCCUACGGGAGGCAGCAGUAGGGAAUCUUCCGCAAUGGGCGAAAGCCUGACGGAGCAACGCCGCGUGAGUGAUGAAGGUCUUCGGAUCGUAAAACUCUGUUAUUAGGAAAGAACAAAUGUGUAAGUAACUAUGCACGUCUUGACGGUACCUAAUCAGAAAGCCACGGCUAACUACGUG